GGGUGAGUAACGCGUAAGGAACUUGCCUCUUGGACUGGGACAACUGUUGGAAACGACAGCUAAUACCGGAUAUUAUGAGAUUCUCGCAUGAGAAACUUAUGAAAGCUAUAUGCGCCAAGAGAGAGCCUUGCGUUCCAUUAGCUAGUUGGUGGGGUAACGGCCCACCAAGGCGACGAUGGAUAGCCGGCCUGAGAGGGUGAACGGCCACAAGGGGACUGAGACACGGCCCUUACUCCUACGGGAGGCAGCAGUGGGGAAUAUUGGACAAUGGGCCACAAGCCUGAUCCAGCAAUUCUGUGUGCACGAUGAAGGUCUUCGGAUUGUAAAGUGCUUUCAGUUGGGAAGAAGAAAGUGACGGUACCAACAGAAGAAGCGACGGCUAAAUACGUGCCAGCAGCCGCGGUAAUACGUAUGUCGCAAGCGUUAUCCGGAUUUAUUGGGCGUAAAGCGCGUCUAGGCGGAAAAAUAAGUCUGAUGUUAAAAUGCGGGGCUCAACUCCGUAUUGCGUUGGAAACUGUUUUUCUAGAGUACUGGAGAGGUGGGCGGAACUACAAGUGUAGAGGUGAAAUUCGUAGAUAUUUGUAGGAAUGCCGAUGGAGAAGUCAGCUCACUGGACAGAUACUGACGCUGAAGCGCGAAAGCGUGGGGAGCAAACAGG
This 658-nucleotide ribosomal RNA is filed under the name uncultured bacterium. RNAcentral describes it as "bacterial SSU rRNA". It matches the Rfam family "Bacterial small subunit ribosomal RNA", at positions 104 to 776 of the family's 1533-position model. The record is from RNAcentral.